UGGGGAAUAUUGCACAAUGGGCGAAAGCCUGAUGCAGCAACGCCGCGUGAGUGAUGAAGGUCUUCGGAUUGUAAAGCUCUGUCUUUUGGGACGAUAAUGACGGUACCAAAGGAGGAAGCCACGGCUAACUACGUGCCAGCAGCCGCGGUAAUACGUAGGUGGCGAGCGUUGUCCGGAUUUACUGGGCGUAAAGGGUGCGUAGGCGGAUGUUUAAGUGAGAUGUGAAAUACCCGGGCUUAACUUGGGUGCUGCAUUUCAAACUGGAUAUCUAGAGUGCAGGAGAGGAGAAUGGAAUUCCUAGUGUAGCGGUGAAAUGCGUAGAGAUUAGGAAGAACGCCAGUGGCGAAGGCGAUUCUCUGGACUGUAACUGACGCUGAGGCACGAAAGCGUGGGUAGCAAACAGGAUUAGAUACCCUGGUAGUCCACGCCGUAAACGAUGAGUACUAGGUGUAGGAGGUAUCGACCCCUUCUGUGCCGCAGUAAACACAUUAAGUACUCCGCCUGGGAAGUACGAUCGCAAGAUUAAAAC
Molecule: ribosomal RNA, 529 nt
Filed under: uncultured bacterium
Lineage: Bacteria
Description: partial 16S ribosomal RNA
Rfam family: Bacterial small subunit ribosomal RNA
Source: RNAcentral